Molecule: non-coding RNA, 420 nt
Organism: Plectropomus leopardus (leopard coralgrouper)
Lineage: Eukaryota; Metazoa; Chordata; Actinopteri; Perciformes; Serranidae
Source: RefSeq, a predicted model, not a curated record
UUGCUCUCUUUUUUGUAGUGUCUUCCACCAUUUGAGAAUUUCUCUCAGGGACCCACCCUGCAGUUCACCCUGCGCUGGACCAGCGAUUCCUGUGAUCGUUCCACAGCACCUGUGGCUAAACCUCUGGCCACCCGCAACUCCGAGACCAACCAGGACACCAGACCAAGCACCCUGAGAGCCACACACACUCUGGCUGUUAAAGAAUCAAUAAAUGCUGAUGUUCAAACCAGAAGAGAACAAAUCUCAGCUGAGCCCCGACAGAAGCUACGCAUCUUUUACCAGUUCCAGUACAACAACAACACUCGGCAGCAGACGGAGGCUAGAGAUGACCUCCACUGUCCCUGGUGUACCCUCAACUGCAGGAAGCUCUACAGUCUGAUCAAACACCUCAAACUGUCUCACUCCCGCUUCAUCUUCAAC